RNAcentral lists this ribosomal RNA (2926 nucleotides) under Staphylococcus aureus MUM270. RNAcentral describes it as "bacterial LSU rRNA". It matches the Rfam family "Bacterial large subunit ribosomal RNA". The record is from RNAcentral. Lineage: Bacteria; Bacillati; Bacillota; Bacilli; Caryophanales; Staphylococcaceae.
AGAUUAAGUUAUUAAGGGCGCACGGUGGAUGCCUUGGCACUAGAAGCCGAUGAAGGACGUUACUAACGACGAUAUGCUUUGGGGAGCUGUAAGUAAGCUUUGAUCCAGAGAUUUCCGAAUGGGGAAACCCAGCAUGAGUUAUGUCAUGUUAUCGAUAUGUGAAUACAUAGCAUAUCAGAAGGCACACCCGGAGAACUGAAACAUCUUAGUAACCGGAGGAAGAGAAAGAAAAUUCGAUUCCCUUAGUAGCGGCGAGCGAAACGGGAAGAGCCCAAACCAACAAGCUUGCUUGUUGGGGUUGUAGGACACUCUAUACGGAGUUACAAAGGACGACAUUAGACGAAUCAUCUGGAAAGAUGAAUCAAAGAAGGUAAUAAUCCUGUAGUCGAAAAUGUUGUCUCUCUUGAGUGGAUCCUGAGUACGACGGAGCACGUGAAAUUCCGUCGGAAUCUGGGAGGACCAUCUCCUAAGGCUAAAUACUCUCUAGUGACCGAUAGUGAACCAGUACCGUGAGGGAAAGGUGAAAAGCACCCCGGAAGGGGAGUGAAAUAGAACCUGAAACCGUGUGCUUACAAGUAGUCAGAGCCCGUUAAUGGGUGAUGGCGUGCCUUUUGUAGAAUGAACCGGCGAGUUACGAUUUGAUGCAAGGUUAAGCAGUAAAUGUGGAGCCGUAGCGAAAGCGAGUCUGAAUAGGGCGUUUAGUAUUUGGUCGUAGACCCGAAACCAGGUGAUCUACCCUUGGUCAGGUUGAAGUUCAGGUAACACUGAAUGGAGGACCGAACCGACUUACGUUGAAAAGUGAGCGGAUGAACUGAGGGUAGCGGAGAAAUUCCAAUCGAACCUGGAGAUAGCUGGUUCUCUCCGAAAUAGCUUUAGGGCUAGCCUCAAGUGAUGAUUAUUGGAGGUAGAGCACUGUUUGGACGAGGGGCCCUCUCGGGUUACCGAAUUCAGACAAACUCCGAAUGCCAAUUAAUUUAACUUGGGAGUCAGAACAUGGGUGAUAAGGUCCGUGUUCGAAAGGGAAACAGCCCAGACCACCAGCUAAGGUCCCAAAAUAUAUGUUAAGUGGAAAAGGAUGUGGCGUUGCCCAGACAACUAGGAUGUUGGCUUAGAAGCAGCCAUCAUUUAAAGAGUGCGUAAUAGCUCACUAGUCGAGUGACACUGCGCCGAAAAUGUACCGGGGCUAAACAUAUUACCGAAGCUGUGGAUUGUCCUUUGGACAAUGGUAGGAGAGCGUUCUAAGGGCGUUGAAGCAUGAUCGUAAGGACAUGUGGAGCGCUUAGAAGUGAGAAUGCCGGUGUGAGUAGCGAAAGACGGGUGAGAAUCCCGUCCACCGAUUGACUAAGGUUUCCAGAGGAAGGCUCGUCCGCUCUGGGUUAGUCGGGUCCUAAGCUGAGGCCGACAGGCGUAGGCGAUGGAUAACAGGUUGAUAUUCCUGUACCACCUAUAAUCGUUUUAAUCGAUGGGGGGACGCAGUAGGAUAGGCGAAGCGUGCGAUUGGAUUGCACGUCUAAGCAGUAAGGCUGAGUAUUAGGCAAAUCCGGUACUCGUUAAGGCUGAGCUGUGAUGGGGAGAAGACAUUGUGUCUUCGAGUCGUUGAUUUCACACUGCCGAGAAAAGCCUCUAGAUAGAAAAUAGGUGCCCGUACCGCAAACCGACACAGGUAGUCAAGAUGAGAAUUCUAAGGUGAGCGAGCGAACUCUCGUUAAGGAACUCGGCAAAAUGACCCCGUAACUUCGGGAGAAGGGGUGCUCUUUAGGGUUAACGCCCAGAAGAGCCGCAGUGAAUAGGCCCAAGCGACUGUUUAUCAAAAACACAGGUCUCUGCUAAACCGUAAGGUGAUGUAUAGGGGCUGACGCCUGCCCGGUGCUGGAAGGUUAAGAGGAGUGGUUAGCUUCUGCGAAGCUACGAAUCGAAGCCCCAGUAAACGGCGGCCGUAACUAUAACGGUCCUAAGGUAGCGAAAUUCCUUGUCGGGUAAGUUCCGACCCGCACGAAAGGCGUAACGAUUUGGGCACUGUCUCAACGAGAGACUCGGUGAAAUCAUAGUACCUGUGAAGAUGCAGGUUACCCGCGACAGGACGGAAAGACCCCGUGGAGCUUUACUGUAGCCUGAUAUUGAAAUUCGGCACAGCUUGUACAGGAUAGGUAGGAGCCUUUGAAACGUGAGCGCUAGCUUACGUGGAGGCGCUGGUGGGAUACUACCCUAGCUGUGUUGGUUUUCUAACCCGCACCACUUAUCGUGGUGGGAGACAGUGUCAGGCGGGCAGUUUGACUGGGGCGGUCGCCUCCUAAAAGGUAACGGAGGCGCUCAAAGGUUCCCUCAGAAUGGUUGGAAAUCAUUCAUAGAGUGUAAAGGCAUAAGGGAGCUUGACUGCGAGACCUACAAGUCGAGCAGGGUCGAAAGACGGACUUAGUGAUCCGGUGGUUCCGCAUGGAAGGGCCAUCGCUCAACGGAUAAAAGCUACCCCGGGGAUAACAGGCUUAUCUCCCCCAAGAGUUCACAUCGACGGGGAGGUUUGGCACCUCGAUGUCGGCUCAUCGCAUCCUGGGGCUGUAGUCGGUCCCAAGGGUUGGGCUGUUCGCCCAUUAAAGCGGUACGCGAGCUGGGUUCAGAACGUCGUGAGACAGUUCGGUCCCUAUCCGUCGUGGGCGUAGGAAAUUUGAGAGGAGCUGUCCUUAGUACGAGAGGACCGGGAUGGACAUACCUCUGGUGUACCAGUUGUCGUGCCAACGGCAUAGCUGGGUAGCUAUGUGUGGACGGGAUAAGUGCUGAAAGCAUCUAAGCAUGAAGCCCCCCUCAAGAUGAGAUUUCCCAACUUCGGUUAUAAGAUCCCUCAAAGAUGAUGAGGUUAAUAGGUUCGAGGUGGAAGCAUGGUGACAUGUGGAGCUGACGAAUACUAAUCGAUCGAAGACUUAAUCAAAUU